Molecule: ribosomal RNA, 253 nt
Filed under: uncultured bacterium
Lineage: Bacteria
Description: partial 16S ribosomal RNA
Rfam family: Bacterial small subunit ribosomal RNA
Source: RNAcentral
UACGUAGGGGGCAAGCGUUGUCCGGAAUUAUUGGGCGUAAAGAGCGUGUAGGCGGUCCGGUAAGUCAGCUGUGAAAGUCAAGGGCUCAACCCUUGAAUGCCGGUUGAUACUGUCGGGCUAGAGUCCGGAAGAGGCGAGUGGAAUUCCUGGUGUAGCGGUGAAAUGCGCAGAUAUCAGGAGGAACACCGAUGGCGAAGGCAAUCCCCUGGACCUGUACUGACGCUCAUGCACGAAAGCGUGGGGAGCAAACAGG